This 382-nucleotide ribosomal RNA is filed under the name uncultured Spumella. Its description in RNAcentral is "SSU rRNA". It matches the Rfam family "Eukaryotic small subunit ribosomal RNA", at positions 1276 to 1680 of the family's 1831-position model. The record is from RNAcentral. Lineage: Eukaryota; Synurophyceae; Ochromonadales; Ochromonadaceae.
GGUGGUGCAUGGCCGUUCUUAGUUGGUGGAGUGAUUUGUCUGGUUAAUUCCGUUAACGAACGAGACCCCCGCCUGCUAAAUAGUUCGGGCUAUGUCUAACAUAGCUUUGAGCUUCUUAGAGGGACUUUUGGUGACUAACCAAAGGAAGUUGGGGGCAAUAACAGGUCUGUGAUGCCCUUAGAUGUCCUGGGCCGCACGCGCGCUACACUGACAUACGCAGCGAGUCUUCCUUGUCCGAAAGGUCUGGGUAAUCUUGUAAAUGUAUGUCGUGAUAGGGAUAGAUUAUUGCAAUUAUUAAUCUUGAACGAGGAAUUCCUAGUAAAUGCGGGUCAUCAGCUCGCGUUGAUUACGUCCCUGCCCUUUGUACACACCGCCCGUCGCU